CAGCUGUGAACGCCGCCGCGGGUUUGCGCACGUCGCGAGCGGUCAUCGCACAAGCGCUCUUUUGACCGCUUCACGCGGCGCGACGGGCGCCUUGCGCGGCGCGCAUCGCAGCAAUGGGAGGCGAAGCGCCAAUCGGGACCGCACGUGCGUCUCGAACCCGCAAGAGGAGAGGCAAGGAUGAAUCAAACGACAGAAAAAGCCGUGAGCGCCGCGCAAGCCGGCGAGACCGAUACGAUCGUGAACUACAAGCCCGCCUAUAUCACGAUGGGCGUCAUGCUGGUCUUCUACGUCGGCAUCCGAGUCUAUGAGCAAUAUUUCGGAUGGAAGGCCGGCCUCGAUUCCUUCGCGCCGGAAUUCCAGACCUACUGGAUGAAUUUGAUGUGGACCGAGCUGCCGCUCGAGUUCGUCGCCUUCUGCGGCAUCGGCGGCUAUCUUUGGAAGACGCGCGACCGCAACAUCGACGCCGUCGCGCCGCGCGAGGAGAUGCGCCGCAUCCUGACGCUCAUCGGCUGGCUCGCGGUGUACGCCUUCUCCGUCUACUGGGGCGCCUCCUACUUCACCGAGCAGGACGGCACCUGGCACCAGACCGUGAUUCGCGACACCGACUUCACGCCGAGCCAUAUCCUCGAGUUCUACCUCAGCUAUCCGAUCUACAUCAUCUGCGGUUGGGGCGCCUUCAUGUAUGCGCACACGCGCAUCCCGCAAUUCGCCAAGCGAAUUUCGCUCGCCUUCCUGAUGUUCUUCGCCGGGCCCUUCAUGAUUUUCCCGAACAUCGGCCUGAACGAGUGGGGCCACACCUUCUGGUUCAUGGAAGAGCUGUUCACGGCGCCGCUGCACUGGGGCUUCGUGUUCUUCGGCUGGUUCGCGCUCGCCGUUUUCGGCGUCGCGCGCCAGGUGCUCGAUCGCGUGAUCGAACUCAGCAAGGAAUACGAGAAGGACGCUCUCGCGCUCUAGAUCGCGCCGCAUCUGAGCUGAACCGCCCAAAUGCGGAUGCGUGAUCGAAUCCGAAAGUUAGAGCGCGCUCCAAGCAAAAAGCCGGUUCCCACUUUUUCGCCGCGCGCGCCAACGCGCAUCGACCUUCGCGCGUCAACGCUUCGAAACGGAAAGCGGCCGUCGACCGAAAGGCGAAGGCCGGGCGGGGCCGCCGCUUUCCUUCCGCAAGAUCAAUUCGAGAGAGGAAAACAUGUCGGCAUCAAUUGAAACAGGCUCGCCAACCGGCAAGACCUGGAAAUCGAAAGAAGAGUUUCUCGGCUGCGUCAUUCUGACGGAUUGGAUCCUGCUGGUGAUCCUGUUCGCCGUGCUGCUCGGCUCCUUCCACAUCCACUACAUGCUGCUCGCCGGCGACUGGGACUUCUGGAUCGACUUCAAGGAUCGACGCAUGUGGCCGACGGUGACGCCGAUCGUCGCCAUGUGCUUCGCCGCGGCCGCGCAGUCCUUCUUCUGGACGCGGUUCCGACUGCCGAUCGGCGCCACGACCGUCGUGCUCGCCCUGCUGAUCGGCGAGUGGAUCAACCGCUAUGACAACUUCUGGGGCUGGACCUUCUUCCCGAUCAAUCUGGUGUUUCCGUCGGCGCUCAUUCCGAUGGGCUUCUGGCUCGACAUCGUGCUGAUGAUCUCGGGCAGCUGGCUGGUCACCGCGCUCCUUGGCGGCCUUGGCUGGGGCCUGUUGUUCUAUCCGAUCAACUGGCCUGUGUUGGCGCAAUAUCAUCAGGCUGCUGAAAUCGACGGCGUGCUGCUCACGCUCGCCGACCUCAUCGGCUUCAACUACGUCCGCACCGGCACCCCGGAAUACAUCCGCAUGGUCGAGCGCGGCACGCUGCGCACCUUCGGCAAGGACGUGGUUCCGGUCGCCGCCUUCUUCUCCGGCUUCAUUUCGAUGCUCGUCUACUUCCUGUGGUGGAACAUGGGCAAGUGGUUCUCGACGACGAAAUAUCUCGAGAUCGAAGAGGUCUAGGACGCGACGCGCAAUUUCACCGGAGCCGGCGACGGCUCCGGCGGCGAAGAAACGCAAGGGAGUGACUCGAGAUGAAAAGUUUGAAUUUGCACUCGAUGGCCAAAUGCGCGACGGCCCGCGUCGUCCGCCUUUGGAUCCUCGGAUUGGCCGUCGCAGGCGCCCUAACCACCCUGCCGGCGGCGACGCCCGCCGCCGCGCAUGGCGAACGUUCGCAGCAGGCCUUCCUGCGCAUGCGCACGCUCAACUGGUAUGACGUCAAAUGGUCGAAGACCGAGCUCAAUGUGAAUGACGAGAUGGAGCUCACCGGAAAGGUGCAUGUGUUUUCCGGCUGGCCGCAGGCCGUCGCCAGGCCCGGCGAAUCCUUUCUCAACGUCGGCGAGCCGGGGCCGGUGCUCAUCCGCAAGAGCGCCUUCGUCGGCGAAGUGCCGGUGCCGCGCACCUUCUCGAUGGAUGUCGGCAACGACUAUGAAUACAAGAUCGUCCUGAAAGCGCGCCGGCAGGGCCGCUAUCACGUGCAUGUCCAGAUCAACGUCAAGGACGGCGGCCCGAUCGUCGGUCCGGGACAGUGGAUCACCAUCAAGGGCGACAUGAAGGAUUUCACCAAUCCGGUGACGCUGCUCGAAGGUUCGACGAUCGAUCUCGAAACCUAUGGGAUCACCUGGACCUAUAUCUAUCACUUCUUCUGGAUGGCCGCCGCCGCCGCCUGGAUCCUGUACUGGUUCAUGACCAAGGGGAUCAUCGUCCGAUAUUGGCAGGUCAAGGCCGGCAAGGGCCGCGAGCUGAUCGGCCAGGACGAAAAGCGGAUCGGCGCGGUCACGCUCGCCGCGGUUCUCCUGGCUGUGCUGGUCUUCUACGCCAGCGCCAAUCGGGAGUUCCCGCGCACGCUGCCGAUGCAGGCGGGCUUGCUGACCGGCAUCUCGCCGAUCGACGAGCCGCGGUCGACGGUCGCCGUUCAGUUCAAAGGUGGCUCCUAUACGGUGCCGGGCCGCGAAUUGCGGAUCAGGGCGAAGGUGACCAACAAUGGCAAGGAGCCGAUCCGGCUCGGCGAAUUCACGUCCGCCGGUCUGCGCUUCCUCAAUCCGGACGUCUUCACGACGCGGCCGGAUUUCCCUGACUAUCUGCUUGCCGACCGCGGCCUUUCCGUGAGCGAUCCCAAUCCGAUCGCGCCCGGCGAGACCCGCGACCUGGAAGUGAUCGUUCAGGACGCCCGCUUCGACAUCGAACGCCUGUCCGAUCUCGCCUAUGACACCGACAGCCAGUUUGGCGGACUGCUGUUCUUCUUCAGCCCCUCCGGCGAGCGUCAGAGGGCUGAAAUCGGCGGCCCGGUGAUUCCGAAGUUCCAGGCGGGAGCCACGCUUUAAUCCUCCAAGCGUUGUUGCGCGCUCGCUGCGGGCGCGCAACAAAACCUUGCCCGCCCAAGUUCUUGGGCGGGCAUU
This 3390-nucleotide unclassified non-coding RNA is filed under the name Methylocystis hydrogenophila. Its description in RNAcentral is "Methylocystis sp. SC2 miscellaneous RNA". The record is from RNAcentral. Lineage: Bacteria; Pseudomonadati; Pseudomonadota; Alphaproteobacteria; Hyphomicrobiales; Methylocystaceae.